This 565-nucleotide long non-coding RNA is filed under the name Ursus maritimus (polar bear). RNAcentral's name for it is "lncRNA (ENSUMAG00000017935.1)". The record is from RNAcentral. Lineage: Eukaryota; Metazoa; Chordata; Mammalia; Carnivora; Ursidae.
CCCGGACGCCCCGCGCCCCGGGAGGAACCAGCGGAGAAGCCCCGGAGCGCUACAGACGUUCGCAACCAUUUGUCUAACCUUCAGAAAUAAGCAAAAUUAAGCAAUAUAGCGUUUAGGUGUAUGUGGUAAAGCGCUUUAAAAAGUCGGAGGAAGGGUAAACGGAGUUCGUUAGUAGUUAGGUUGGAGAGAGGCUGGGGGCGGGAUGCGGAAGGACGGGUGGGUGCUGCCGGCAGCCCUCGGGUAACUGGGUUCAGUGGUAGAUUGAUGGGUAUUUCACUGUGGUUUCUGUAUAAUACAUGGGAUGGUUACUCUCUUACAUGUGUGGAUGAUUUUAAAAUGAACUUGGCGGGCGCCUGGGUGGCUCAGUCGGUUAAGCCUCUGACUCCUGAUACCCACUCAGGUCAUGAUGUCAGGGUGGUGAGAUCGAGACCCAAAUGCAGCCCCUGGGCAGUGCGGAGUCUGCUUCCGUGUCUCUCAACCCUUCAAGAUUUUAUCUCCCACCUGCAAGAUGAAGAAACAGAACCAAAAGUUACCUGAGGCUAGCGGGACAAAGACAGGAAAGCCC